Molecule: long non-coding RNA, 587 nt
Organism: Zingiber officinale
Lineage: Eukaryota; Viridiplantae; Streptophyta; Magnoliopsida; Zingiberales; Zingiberaceae
Exons: 3
Source: RefSeq, a predicted model, not a curated record
CGCCGCCUCCCUUAUUUCUUUCUUCGUGCUUUCUUCCUCCGAGCUCACCGACCCCUCGCCCUUCGCCCGAUUUCUAUCGACUCAACAUCGCGACGGCGACUCCGCACCCGAGCUCACGGCAACGCAUAGUUCGCCACUCGCCCAAGACUCCCAACCCUCUACCCUGGUCUACAGCAUUACCGGAGGCCCUCCUCUCUGGAUUUCUGCUUCGUGCGACGACCGUCCGGUAGGAGGAGCAGAUUUGAAGAUUCGGAGACACAGAGGGUUGAAUUGCCUGUUCCGGAGGUUAAGGGUAGCAAGGAUUGGUACUCCCAGCAGCUGAGUCGAGCUGAUCGAGUCGGACUCAUCUCCGACGAUCUUGGGGGUUCCGACAUCAAGGCUCGCCCAAGAUCUUCAACAACGAGUUAUCACCGACGAGCCUCCUCGGCAAUGGAUUCCUGGCUUCGAGUCAUUAGCCCUGUAGAGGAUCUAUUGUUGAUCUGUGGCAGCAGACCUCACCAGCGAGCGAUUUCCGGCGAUUUCAUUAUUCUGGCAGAGAGCUAACAGAAGCAAAUUUGGUCCUAAGGUAAGAUCUUGGAAUUUAGAUA